RNAcentral lists this ribosomal RNA (253 nucleotides) under uncultured bacterium. Its description in RNAcentral is "partial 16S ribosomal RNA". It matches the Rfam family "Bacterial small subunit ribosomal RNA", at positions 524 to 776 of the family's 1533-position model. The record is from RNAcentral.
UACGUAGGACGCAAGCGUUAUCCGGAUUUAUUGGGUUUAAAGGGUGCGUAGGCGGACCCAUAAGUCAGUGGUGAAAUACUGUCGCUCAACGAUAGGAUUGCCAUUGAUACUGUGGAUCUUGAGUACAAUUGAGGUAGGCGGAAUGUGUAGUGUAGCGGUGAAAUGCUUAGAUAUUACACAGAACACCGAUUGCGAAGGCAGCUUACUAAAUUGAAACUGACGCUGAGGCACGAAAGCGUGGGGAUCAAACAGG